GACGAACGCUGGCGGCGUGCUUAACACAUGCAAGUCGAACGGAAAGGCCCUGCUUUUGUGGGGUGCUCGAGUGGCGAACGGGUGAGUAACACGUGAGUAACCUGCCCUUGACUUUGGGAUAACUUCAGGAAACUGGGGCUAAUACCGGAUAGGAGCUCCUGCUGCAUGGUGGGGGUUGGAAAGUUUCGGCGGUUGGGGAUGGACUCGCGGCUUAUCAGCUUGUUGGUGGGGUAGUGGCUUACCAAGGCUUUGACGGGUAGCCGGCCUGAGAGGGUGACCGGCCAUCAUGGGGACGGAGAUCCGCCCCAGCCCCCGGGGGGGGGAGAGGGGGGGGAUUUGUCCACAGGGGGGGGAGGCCUGAUGCGGCAGCCCCGGGUGGGGGAUGGGGGCUUUGGGUUUGUAACCCGCUUGCGCCUGGGAAGAAGGGGGAGUGAGGGUAGUGGGAAAAGAAGCACCGCCUACCUGCGU
This 468-nucleotide ribosomal RNA is filed under the name uncultured bacterium. RNAcentral's name for it is "partial 16S ribosomal RNA". It matches the Rfam family "Bacterial small subunit ribosomal RNA", at positions 28 to 506 of the family's 1533-position model. The record is from RNAcentral.